Molecule: ribosomal RNA, 497 nt
Filed under: uncultured bacterium
Lineage: Bacteria
Description: partial 16S ribosomal RNA
Rfam family: Bacterial small subunit ribosomal RNA
Source: RNAcentral
GAUGAACGCUGGCGGCGUGCCUAACACAUGCAAGUCGAGCGAACAGACGAGGAGCUUGCUCCUCUGACGUUAGCGGCGGACGGGUGAGUAACACGUGGAUAACCUACCUAUAAGACUGGGAUAACUUCGGGAAACCGGAGCUAAUACCGGAUAAUAUAUUGAACCGCAUGGUUCAAUAGUGAAAGACGGUUUUGCUGUCACUUAUAGAUGGAUCCGCGCCGCAUUAGCUAGUUGGUAAGGUAACGGCUUACCAAGGCGACGAUGCGUAGCCGACCUGAGAGGGUGAUCGGCCACACUGGAACUGAGACACGGUCCAGACUCCUACGGGAGGCAGCAGUAGGGAAUAUUCCGCAAUGGGCGAAAGCCUGACGGAGCAACGCCGCGUGAGUGAUGAAGGUCUUCGGAUCGUAAAACUCUGUUAUUAGGGAAGAACAAAUGUGUAAGUAAAUAUGCACGUCUUGACGGUACCUAAUCAGAAAGCCACGGCUAACUACGUG